Molecule: ribosomal RNA, 253 nt
Filed under: uncultured bacterium
Lineage: Bacteria
Description: partial 16S ribosomal RNA
Rfam family: Bacterial small subunit ribosomal RNA
Source: RNAcentral
UACAGGGGGGGCAAGCGUUGUUCGGAAUUACUGGGCGUAAAGGGCUCGUAGGUGGCCAACUAAGUCAGACGUGAAAUCCCUCAGCUUAACUGGGGAACUGCGUCUGAUACUGGAUGGCUUGAGUUUGGGAGAGGGAUGCGGAAUUCCAGGUGUAGCGGUGAAAUGCGUAGAUAUCGAGAGGAACACCGGCGGCGAAGGCGGGUUGCUGGGCCGACACUGACGCUGAUGCGCGAAAGCCAGGGGAGCGAACGGG